Molecule: ribosomal RNA, 546 nt
Filed under: Oridorsalis umbonatus
Lineage: Eukaryota; Foraminifera; Rotaliida; Alabaminidae
Description: bacterial SSU rRNA
Rfam family: Eukaryotic small subunit ribosomal RNA
Source: RNAcentral
GGGUCCGGACACACUGAGGAUUGACAGGCAAUAUUAAUACGUGUUUCGGCGCGUAUUAUGUUAAAUAUGCUAGUCCUUUCAUGAUUAUGUGAUAGGUGGUGCAUGGCCGUUCUUAGUUCGUGGAGUGAUCUGUCUGCUUAAUUGCGUUUCACUAAGAAUCUAUCAAUACGUGCGUUGCGGCACUUUGACCCCUCCCUGAGCGCGCGUCUUAGUUGCUUAGCUCGCACAAUUAGGUUCUGAAAGCAACGAACGUGACCGCAACCUCUUGUUGCCUUUAUACCAAACACGUUUACUGCUUUUGCAGUAUUCGUGCAAAAAGGCUUUUUAAACUAGAGGGACCGCUGUUACUUUCUUAAACCAGAGGAAGGUUGCGGCAAUAACAGGUCUGUGAUGCCCUUAGAUGUUCCGGGCUGCACACGUGCUACAAUGAUUGUUGCAGUGAGCAUCUCAUUUUUACACACCGCAUGCGCGAGUCCAUUUAUUCACUUCGGUGCUUUAAAUGUGUAUUUCUGCGCGCGGUAAAGCCUGCUUCGAGAGUAAGUGGGU